UGCGUAGGUGGCGGGGUAAGUCUGAUGUGAAAUCUCCAAGCUUAACUUGGAAAUGGCAUUGGAAACUACUCUGCUCGAGGGUUGGAGGGGGGACUGGAAUACUUGGUGUAGCAGUGAAAUGCGUAGAUAUCAAGUGGAACACCAGUGGCGAAGGCGAGUCCCUGGACAACUCCUGACACUGAGGCACGAAAGCUAGGGAGGCAAACA
This 207-nucleotide ribosomal RNA is filed under the name uncultured bacterium. RNAcentral's name for it is "partial 16S ribosomal RNA". It matches the Rfam family "Bacterial small subunit ribosomal RNA", at positions 568 to 774 of the family's 1533-position model. The record is from RNAcentral.